This 447-nucleotide ribosomal RNA is filed under the name uncultured bacterium. RNAcentral's name for it is "bacterial SSU rRNA". It matches the Rfam family "Bacterial small subunit ribosomal RNA", at positions 355 to 825 of the family's 1533-position model. The record is from RNAcentral.
UGCGGAAUUUUGGGCAAUGGGCGAAAGCCUGACCCAGCAACGCCGCGUGAAGGAUGAAGUAUUUCGGUAUGUAAACUUCGAAAGAAUAGGAAGAAUAAAUGACGGUACUAUUUAUAAGGUCCGGCUAACUACGUGCCAGCAGCCGCGGUAAUACGUAGGGACCAAGCGUUGUUCGGAUUUACUGGGCGUAAAGGGCGCGUAGGCGGCAAUUCAAGUCAUCUGUGAAAUCUCCGGGCUUAACUCGGAACGGUCAGAUGAUACUGCUUUGCUAGAGUGCAGAAGGGGCAAUCGGAAUUCUUGGUGUAGCGGUGAAAUGCGUAGAUAUCAAGAGGAACACCUGAGGUGAAGACGGGUUGCUGGGCUGACACUGACGCUGAGGCGCGAAAGCCAGGGGAGCAAACGGGAUUAGAUACCCCGGUAGUCCCUGAGCGGGCUGGCAAGGCGCAU